UUCAAGAUAGAUGUUUGAAAUGAUGAAUAGGCCUCUUUUGAACAUGAAUGAAGUGUCUCAACUCAUUUCCCCACCUCAUAGCCCUCAGUUGACUGCACAGUUGACUUUCAUGGUCCUCAGAUGACCUGGAAAUGCACUGAUGAAUUUGGGCCUCUACCACUUGGUAAAAUUGUUUCAAAAUGAAACCCUAGCUCAUAUAAGCUCUUUAGAAU
Molecule: long non-coding RNA, 212 nt
Filed under: Lathyrus oleraceus (garden pea)
Lineage: Eukaryota; Viridiplantae; Streptophyta; Magnoliopsida; Fabales; Fabaceae
Description: Pisum sativum (pea) long non-coding RNA (PSAT_LNC009367)
Source: RNAcentral